Molecule: ribosomal RNA, 468 nt
Filed under: uncultured bacterium
Lineage: Bacteria
Description: partial 16S ribosomal RNA
Rfam family: Bacterial small subunit ribosomal RNA
Source: RNAcentral
GACGAACGCUGGCGGCGCGCCUAACACAUGCAAGUCGAACGGAGUCAAGAGGAGCUUGCUUUUCUUGACUUAGUGGCGAACGGGUGAGUAACGCGUGAGUAACCUGCCCUGGAGUGGGGGACAACAGUUGGAAACGACUGCUAAUACCGCAUAAGCCCACGGAUCCGCAUGGAUCUGCGGGAAAAGGAUUUAUUCGCUUCAGGAUGGACUCGCGUCCAAUUAGCUAGUUGGUGAGGUAACGGCCCACCAAGGCGACGAUUGGUAGCCGGACUGAGAGGUUGAACGGCCACAUUGGGACUGAGACACGGCCCAGACUCCUACGGGAGGCAGCAGUGGGGGAUAUUGCACAAUGGGGGAAACCCUGAUGCAGCGACGCCGCGUGGAGGAAGAAGGUUUUCGGAUUGUAAACUCCUGUCGUUAGGGACGAUAAUGACGGUACCUAACAAGAAAGCACCGGGUAACUACGUG